GUGAGGAAUAUUGGUCAAUGGGCGGGAGCCUGAACCAGCCAACUCGCGUGAAGGAAGAAGGAUCUAUGGUUCGUAAACUUCUUUUGCAGGGGAAUAAAGUGCAGGACGUGUCCUGUUUUGUAUGUACCCUGAGAAUAAGGAUCGGCUAACUCCGUGCCAGCAGCCGCGGUAAUACGGAGGAUCCGAGCGUUAUCCGGAUUUAUUGGGUUUAAAGGGUGCGUAGGUGGUUUGAUAAGUCAGCGGUGAAAGUUUGCAGCUUAACUGUAAAAAUGCCGUUGAAACUGUCGGACUUGAGUGUAAAUGAGGUAGGCGGAAUGCGUGGUGUAGCGGUGAAAUGCAUAGAUAUCACGCAGAACUCCGAUUGCGAAGGCAGCUUACUAAGCUACAACUGACACUGAAGCACGAAAGCGUGGGGAUCAAACAGGAUUAGAUACCCUUGUAGUCC
RNAcentral lists this ribosomal RNA (445 nucleotides) under uncultured bacterium. RNAcentral's name for it is "partial 16S ribosomal RNA". It matches the Rfam family "Bacterial small subunit ribosomal RNA", at positions 354 to 796 of the family's 1533-position model. The record is from RNAcentral.